GUCAGGUGUGGUGGUGCACGCCUGUAGUCCCAGCUACUCAGGAGGCUGAGGCAGGAGAAUCGCUUGAACCCAGGAGGCGGAGGUUGCAGUGAGCUGAGAUCACGCCACUGCAUUCCUGCCUGGGUGACAGAGAGAGAACCUGUCUCAA
This 148-nucleotide non-coding RNA is filed under the name Homo sapiens (human). Lineage: Eukaryota; Metazoa; Chordata; Mammalia; Primates; Hominidae. The record is from Rfam by way of RNAcentral.